GGGUUGUGAGGUUAAGCGACUAAGCGUACACGGUGGAUGCCCUGGCAGUCAGAGGCGAUGAAGGACGUGCUAAUCUGCGAUAAGCGUCGGUAAGGUGAUAUGAACCGUUAUAACCGGCGAUUUCCGAAUGGGGAAACCCAGUGUGAUUCGUCACACUAUCAUUAACUGAAUCCAUAGGUUAAUGAGGCGAACCGGGGGAACUGAAACAUCUAAGUACCCCGAGGAAAAGAAAUCAACCGAGAUUCCCCCAGUAGCGGCGAGCGAACGGGGAGCAGCCCAGAGCCUGAAUCAGUGUGUGUGUUAGUGGAAGCGUCUGGAAAGGCGUGCGAUACAGGGUGACAGCCCCGUACACAAAAAUGCACAUAUUGUGAGCUCGAUGAGUAGGGCGGGACACGUGGUAUCCUGUCUGAAUAUGGGGGGACCAUCCUCCAAGGCUAAAUACUCCUGACUGACCGAUAGUGAACCAGUACCGUGAGGGAAAGGCGAAAAGAACCCCGGCGAGGGGAGUGAAAAAGAACCUGAAACCGUGUACGUACAAGCAGUGGGAGCACAGAGCAAUCUGUGUGACUGCGUACCUUUUGUAUAAUGGGUCAGCGACUUAUAUUCUGUAGCAAGGUUAACCGAAUAGGGGAGCCGAAGGGAAACCGAGUCUUAACUGGGCGUUAAGUUGCAGGGUAUAGACCCGAAACCCGGUGAUCUAGCCAUGGGCAGGUUGAAGGUUGGGUAACACUAACUGGAGGACCGAACCGACUAAUGUUGAAAAAUUAGCGGAUGACUUGUGGCUGGGGGUGAAAGGCCAAUCAAACCGGGAGAUAGCUGGUUCUCCCCGAAAGCUAUUUAGGUAGCGCCUCGUGAAUUCAUCUCCGGGGGUAGAGCACUGUUUCGGCAAGGGGGUCAUCCCGACUUACCAACCCGAUGCAAACUGCGAAUACCGGAGAAUGUUAUCACGGGAGACACACGGCGGGUGCUAACGUCCGUCGUGAAGAGGGAAACAACCCAGACCGCCAGCUAAGGUCCCAAAGUCAUGGUUAAGUGGGAAACGAUGUGGGAAGGCCCAGACAGCCAGGAUGUUGGCUUAGAAGCAGCCAUCAUUUAAAGAAAGCGUAAUAGCUCACUGGUCGAGUCGGCCUGCGCGGAAGAUGUAACGGGGCUAAACCAUGCACCGAAGCUGCGGCAGCGACACUAUGUGUUGUUGGGUAGGGGAGCGUUCUGUAAGCCUGUGAAGGUGUACUGUGAGGUAUGCUGGAGGUAUCAGAAGUGCGAAUGCUGACAUAAGUAACGAUAAAGCGGGUGAAAAGCCCGCUCGCCGGAAGACCAAGGGUUCCUGUCCAACGUUAAUCGGGGCAGGGUGAGUCGACCCCUAAGGCGAGGCCGAAAGGCGUAGUCGAUGGGAAACAGGUUAAUAUUCCUGUACUUGGUGUUACUGCGAAGGGGGGACGGAGAAGGCUAUGUUGGCCGGGCGACGGUUGUCCCGGUUUAAGCGUGUAGGCUGGUUUUCCAGGCAAAUCCGGAAAAUCAAGGCUGAGGCGUGAUGACGAGGCACUACGGUGCUGAAGCAACAAAUGCCCUGCUUCCAGGAAAAGCCUCUAAGCAUCAGGUAACAUCAAAUCGUACCCCAAACCGACACAGGUGGUCAGGUAGAGAAUACCAAGGCGCUUGAGAGAACUCGGGUGAAGGAACUAGGCAAAAUGGUGCCGUAACUUCGGGAGAAGGCACGCUGAUAUGUAGGUGAAGUCCCUCGCGGAUGGAGCUGAAAUCAGUCGAAGAUACCAGCUGGCUGCAACUGUUUAUUAAAAACACAGCACUGUGCAAACACGAAAGUGGACGUAUACGGUGUGACGCCUGCCCGGUGCCGGAAGGUUAAUUGAUGGGGUCAGCGCAAGCGAAGCUCUUGAUCGAAGCCCCGGUAAACGGCGGCCGUAACUAUAACGGUCCUAAGGUAGCGAAAUUCCUUGUCGGGUAAGUUCCGACCUGCACGAAUGGCGUAAUGAUGGCCAGGCUGUCUCCACCCGAGACUCAGUGAAAUUGAACUCGCUGUGAAGAUGCAGUGUACCCGCGGCAAGACGGAAAGACCCCGUGAACCUUUACUAUAGCUUGACACUGAACAUUGAGCCUUGAUGUGUAGGAUAGGUGGGAGGCUUUGAAGUGUGGACGCCAGUCUGCAUGGAGCCGACCUUGAAAUACCACCCUUUAAUGUUUGAUGUUCUAACGUUGACCCGUGAUCCGGGUUGCGGACAGUGUCUGGUGGGUAGUUUGACUGGGGCGGUCUCCUCCUAAAGAGUAACGGAGGAGCACGAAGGUUGGCUAAUCCUGGUCGGACAUCAGGAGGUUAGUGCAAUGGCAUAAGCCAGCUUGACUGCGAGCGUGACGGCGCGAGCAGGUGCGAAAGCAGGUCAUAGUGAUCCGGUGGUUCUGAAUGGAAGGGCCAUCGCUCAACGGAUAAAAGGUACUCCGGGGAUAACAGGCUGAUACCGCCCAAGAGUUCAUAUCGACGGCGGUGUUUGGCACCUCGAUGUCGGCUCAUCACAUCCUGGGGCUGAAGUAGGUCCCAAGGGUAUGGCUGUUCGCCAUUUAAAGUGGUACGCGAGCUGGGUUUAGAACGUCGUGAGACAGUUCGGUCCCUAUCUGCCGUGGGCGCUGGAGAACUGAGGGGGGCUGCUCCUAGUACGAGAGGACCGGAGUGGACGCAUCACUGGUGUUCGGGUUGUCAUGCCAAUGGCACUGCCCGGUAGCUAAAUGCGGAAGAGAUAAGUGCUGAAAGCAUCUAAGCACGAAACUUGCCCCGAGAUGAGUUCUCCCUGACUCCUUGAGAGUCCUGAAGGAACGUUGAAGACGACGACGUUGAUAGGCCGGGUGUGUAAGCGCAGCGAUGCGUUGAGCUAACCGGUACUAAUGAACCGUGAGGCUUAACCUUACAACGCCGAAGGUGUUU
This 2932-nucleotide ribosomal RNA is filed under the name Escherichia coli. Its description in RNAcentral is "23S ribosomal RNA". It matches the Rfam family "Bacterial large subunit ribosomal RNA". Lineage: Bacteria; Pseudomonadati; Pseudomonadota; Gammaproteobacteria; Enterobacterales; Enterobacteriaceae. The record is from RNAcentral.